AUGACCAUGCAAAGUAACCUUUGAGAUUAACAUUGUAUUCCUUGAGGGACCCCAAUGCAUGCCACAUAUGCUCCCGAUAAUAGUCUAUCCUGAAUUUAUCCUUCAUAACUUGCUCAGGAGUUAAGGAUUCGUUAUUGUAUCUAUCAACCCCAUUCUCAGUAAUGAAAAUUACUGGAUUAUCAUAUGUAUCUUUGGUGUAGUUUAGAAGAUGUCGGAUGCCUUUCGGAAAAAUAUAAAACCAAGGUGAGUAAGCAUGUGGACCAAUUGGUUUGCCAUCAUAAUCAAAAGCAGUUUCAAUAAUGCGGCUAUCAGUCUUGUAUCUAACAUGAUUUGGAUCAAAUGGAGCAUUUGGUUUUGCAUAAUACGAAGUAUAAUAUUGUAAUCCAAGAAAAUCAUACGAUUUUCUAAGCAAUUGAGUUUCUUCAUCAGUAAAUUUGGGCAAUCUAUCUCCAACUAAAUCCUUCACCCUUCUCGGAUAUUGACCGUAAGUUAAAGGAUCCAUCCACCUAGAAAAUAUGAAAAAGUUGUUAUUAUUAAUCAAAGGCCUGUGUACUUAAUAAAUCUCUAAUUACUAGCUUAAUUUGAGAGAAAGACUCACAAUCCAAACAUGAAAUCAAGA
RNAcentral lists this unclassified non-coding RNA (619 nucleotides) under Hevea brasiliensis (rubber tree). Lineage: Eukaryota; Viridiplantae; Streptophyta; Magnoliopsida; Malpighiales; Euphorbiaceae. The record is from RNAcentral.